This is a long non-coding RNA of Passer domesticus (house sparrow), 2281 nucleotides long. RefSeq lists it as uncharacterized. Lineage: Eukaryota; Metazoa; Chordata; Aves; Passeriformes; Passeridae. The transcript has 2 exons. The record is from RefSeq and is a predicted model, not a curated record.
AUCUCCAAAGACUGCAUACUGCAAAGGCAGCUGCCUAGAGAUGCCACAGGAGAAGAGAUUUGCCUGAGCUCCUCAACACUUCUGCAAGCAGCAACUUCUGCAACUUCAAGUUAAUGAUUAGGCUCUCUUUGAGGAGCAGAAUAGCAUGAAGACUGAACUGAAGGCGAAAAAGAGCAUUGGGACCAUGGAUCUAAGAAAAAAAUCAUAUAAUGAGUUCCAUCAGUAAGACAUUGACAUCUUCCUCAGCUGUCCCUCCUUACGUGUUCUUCUUCAAAUGGAUGAGAAUUAAGAAAGGAACCCAAAUAUGCAGAAAUUACGGGAAAUAAUGUUCCUGAUAUAAAAUCUCAUCUCAGAGACUGAAUGUAAGUGUUUAUGAAAAAGAAAAAUAUAGUGAAUAUUGGAUCUGAUGUCCGCUGGAGAGCAGAAAAAGAAGUAGACAACAAACGAAAAAGGUGGAAGAAGACGUGGUGAUUGGCAACAGAUUUGUAUUUUGAUAAUUUCCGAUGUUACAACACUCAGUUUUAUUCUCACUGGCAACAACUCAGCCAUCUUCACCAAAGGGAAAAAAAAAGGAGCUUGUUUUGAGGAAAAAAACACUGUCUGAUGAUCAUUCUGACCAACCUCAUCAGGGAGGUGAUAGCCAAGUGAUGCCGAUCUGAAAGCGACAAAGACAAAUGACAAAGAGAAAAAACUUCUAAUUCAUAGAUGACAGACACAGGUCAAGACAUGUGGACUGAAGAAUGAGUCAAAUAGGUGAAGCAACUGUGAGAAAUUACUUUCAGAAAGUAGAAAAUAUGUAACUAUCAGAGUAACAGGCGUGUAAAAAAUGAAAAUAUCACAGUAUGGAAUAUGAUAUCAUUAUUGGAAAGGAUUAUUUCAGUCUCAUAAAACACACAUAAAUGGGACCAUAAGACAUAUGUCAGGGUUUGUUGAAAAUCAGAGACAUCAAAGGUGAACCAGGUGAAGAGACAAAGCCACAUUUCUAGGGAGCCUCAGUGCAUGGCAGAGACACAGAGAUGCUUGUACAGCCCAGUAAAACUGACUGAAGGAUAAUAUUAAAGACUGCUGGGGAGUGAGGGUUACUUAGCAGAAAAAGGUGUCAGCAUUCUGUCAUGCAGCAGAUGUCAGGAGAACUGCAGUUGAUCCCCAGAAUACAUUUUAAGAUAACAGAAAAAGCAGUGAUUAUGUAGUUACAUUAAAGAACGGGGAUAGCAGAAAGUUCUGAACUGUUUUGUUCUUCUUGUGCUUGAGAGCAGAGCAUAGAAUCAUUUGAGAAUUAGACCUUUUUGUAAUACUAAUGAAUGAAAAUGAGCAUUAAAUUUGUCCUAAGCUUGUGACUUCGCAUCACAGACUCCCAGGAACAGCAUAUCAGAAAAAUUAUUUGUUAUUCCUGCUGACUUUCAAAGAACUCUUCUAUAUUUCUGACAGAAUUGAAGGCCCAGGAAUCUUGAAGAUUGAGCUAGCUAGGCUUGUCCUUGCCUACAAAGAAAAAGAGUUUCUAUUUCCCAGUGGGAAAGCAGAAAUUAAUUCAUAAUUCCAAACCCCUAUUUAUUAGUUCCACUCACCAGUAAUGGACAAGAAACAAAUCCGUGUGACUUGGGGGACUGGUUACUGUGGGAGAGCAUUAAGCAUGAAUAGUGAAGGCACAGAUCCAACAUGCAGUGGGCUGAAAUUGGCUGAAAUAUGUUCCCAGCAAGUAUUUCUUGAAUACUUAUAAGUAACAAAAAAAUACAAGAACCCCUAAACUGUUCCAAUCGGUUUGUUAACGAUAAUAGCCCAUCAUUUGGUGAACAUACUGUUUGCCAUCAACUGUUUGUCCAUCCCUCCUGCUGGUGGAAGAGAGCUCUGGCUGAGUGGACAGAUGUUUUUUCCUGCUAACUCUGACAACACUUGGGUCCAUGGUCCUUGACCAGAGGAACUAAUUAAGUAGUAAAAUCAGCUCUUUGUAAGAUGGGAAGAAAGGGUAGAACCACUGAAGAACAUGAGGCACUGAUUAACUCACAAGUGUUUUCUGUAUAAUGCAAAUCAUUAAGGCUUAGUGGUCUCUGAGACUAAUAAACCAGAACCAUAAACAUAACAACAAUAUCACAAAUCAUAUGUGAAUCCUACAGGAUCUUUUUUCUUUCCUGAAAAGAAAAUGGUUCAAUCUGUAAAAAUAAUGUCUUUAACUUCUUAUUUACUAAUCUUUAAAUUUUGAUUCUAUACCUUACAACGGAACCUAGCUGGCUGGUUCUUUGUAGUAUGGGUAAUGGUGAAAAAAAAAAAAAAAAAAAGAAGAAAA